This 492-nucleotide ribosomal RNA is filed under the name uncultured bacterium. RNAcentral's name for it is "partial 16S ribosomal RNA". It matches the Rfam family "Bacterial small subunit ribosomal RNA", at positions 29 to 507 of the family's 1533-position model. The record is from RNAcentral.
AGUGAACGCUGGCGGUAGGCCUAACACAUGCAAGUCGAACGGCAGCACAGUAAGAGCUUGCUCUUACGGGUGGCGAGUGGCGGACGGGUGAGGAAUACAUCGGAAUCUACUUUUUCGUGGGGGAUAACGUAGGGAAACUUACGCUAAUACAGCAUACGACCUACGGGUGAAAGCAGGGGAUCUUCGGACCUUGCGCGAUUGAAUGAGCCGAUGUCGGUUUAGCUAGUUGGCGGGGUAAAGGCCCACCAAGGCGGCGAUCCGUAGCUGGUCUGAGUGGAUGGUCGGCCACAUUGGAACUUGGACGCGGUCCAUGCGCCUACGGGAGGGAGCAGUGGGGAAUAUUGGGCAAUAGGCGCAAAUCUGAUCCAGCCAUACCGCGUGGGAGAAGAAGGCGUUGGGGGUGUGAAGCCCUUUUGUUGGGAGAGAAAAGCAUCAGGUUAAUACCCCGCUGUUCUGACGGUAACCAAAGAAUAAGCACCGGCUAACUUCGUG